This 376-nucleotide ribosomal RNA is filed under the name uncultured bacterium. RNAcentral's name for it is "bacterial SSU rRNA". It matches the Rfam family "Bacterial small subunit ribosomal RNA", at positions 355 to 748 of the family's 1533-position model. The record is from RNAcentral.
UGGGGAAUAUUGGACAAUGGGGGAAACCCUGAUCCAGCAAUGCCGCGUGAGUGAAGAAGGCCUUAGGGUUGUAAAGCUCUUUCGCCCGCGAAGAUAAUGACGGUAGCGGGAGAAGAAGCCCCGGCUAACUCCGUGCCAGCAGCCGCGGUAAUACGGAGGGGGCUAGUGUUGUUCGGAAUUACUGGGCGUAAAGCGUACGUAGGCGGAUGCGCAAGUUGGGGGUGAAAUCCCGGGGCUUAACCUCGGAAUUGCCCUCAAAACUGCACGUCUUGAGACCGAGAGAGGUAAGGGGAAUUCCUAGUGUAGAGGUGAAAUUCGUAGAUAUUAGGAAGAACACCAGUGGCGAAGGCGCCUUACUGACUCGGUACUGACGCUG